UGGGCGUUAAGCGUAUUGUGGCGGACAUGUUAGUCGUGGUGUGAAUUUCAGAGGUCAACUCCCGGGCUGCUUCGAAACUGGUGGAUAGAGAAAGGGAAAAAGGACUGGGACUUCUGAGGGAGUAAUGAAAUGCGUUGAUAUCAUGGGGAACACCAAAGGGGAAAGGCGGUUUUUGGGACUUUUCUGACGCUGAAUACCAAAGCGUGGGGGAGGAAUGGGAUUAGAUACCCCUGGAGUCCCCGCCCGAAACGAUGCAUAUUCAGAUGGUGGAGGAUAUCCCCUCUGCGUGUUUUAGCUAACGCGUUAAUAUGCCGCCUGGGGGAUUACGGCGCAAGCUUAAAACUUCAAGGAAUUGACGGGGGAUCCCGCACAAGUGGUGGAGCAUGUGGUUUAAUUCGACAAUAAGCGAGAAACCUCACCUGGGUUUGAACUUAGCUGCAAGCUCUUAGAAAUAAGGCCGCCUUCCUUGGUGCUAAUCAGGUGCUGCAUGGGCAUGGCUGGCUCGUGCUCGUGGGUGGUCACUUAAGUGUAAGAAACGAGCGCAACCCUUGUCUUGUGUCUUAUGUGUCAUACGAGACUGCCCAGACUUUAGUCUACUGAUCGAGUGAUUCCGAAUGAAGAGGCUGAUAAGAAGGAGAGCAUGACGUCCUAAUGGCCUGGGCUUUGACGUCCUGGGCAUGACACGUGCUACAGUGACUAGAAUAAAGGGGUGCAAAACAUCGAAGAGAGAGCUAACUCCGAUCAUAUAGGAUCCUGUCGCAUUGCACCC
Molecule: ribosomal RNA, 769 nt
Filed under: uncultured bacterium
Lineage: Bacteria
Description: bacterial SSU rRNA
Rfam family: Bacterial small subunit ribosomal RNA
Source: RNAcentral